This 381-nucleotide ribosomal RNA is filed under the name Triticum aestivum (bread wheat). RNAcentral's name for it is "partial small subunit ribosomal RNA". The record is from RNAcentral. Lineage: Eukaryota; Viridiplantae; Streptophyta; Magnoliopsida; Poales; Poaceae.
AUGGCGCCAUCGACCAAGCUCUUCCUCCUGCUCCUCGGCUUGAACCUGAUGGUCGCCGAUGUGCACGGUGGCUGCGGAGCCCACUGCCCGACUCCGCCGCCACCGUCGACGACCAACGGCUCGUGUCCGAUCGACACGCUGAAGCUGGGCGUGUGCGCCAAGGUGCUGAACCUGCUAAAGCUUGGGCUCGGUGUGCCGCACAGCGAGACGUGCUGCCCGCUGCUGGCCGGUCUGGCCGACCUGGACGCCGCGGUGUGCCUCUGCACCGCCACCAGGGCCAAGGUCCACGGCGUCAUCAACCUCAACGUCCCCAUCGACAUAGUGCUCCUGCUCAACCAGUGCCACAAGACCUGCCCGCCCGGCUUCACCUGCCCGCUCUGA